GACGAACGCUGGCGGCGUGCUUAACACAUGCAAGUCGAACGGAAAGGCCCUGCUUUUGUGGGGUGCUCGAGUGGCGAACGGGUGAGUAACACGUGAGUAACCUGCCUUUGACUUUGGGAUAACUUCAGGAAACUGGGGCUAAUACCGGAUAGGAGCUCCUGCUGCAUGGUGGGGGUUGGAAAGUUUCGGCGGUUGGGGAUGGACUCGCGGCUUAUCAGCUUGUUGGUGGGGUAGUGGCUUACCAAGGCUUUGACGGGUAGCCGGCCUGAGAGGGUGACCGGCCACCUUGGGACUGGGAUACGGCCCAGACUCCUAAGGGAGGCAGCAGUGGGGAAUAUUGCACAAUGGGCGGAAGCCUGAUGCAGCAACGCCGCGUGCGGGAUGAAGGCCUUCGGGGUGUAAACCGCUUUCGCCUGGGACGAAGCGUGAGUGACGGUAAUGGGGAAAGAAGCAACGGCUAACUACGUG
This 468-nucleotide ribosomal RNA is filed under the name uncultured bacterium. RNAcentral describes it as "partial 16S ribosomal RNA". It matches the Rfam family "Bacterial small subunit ribosomal RNA", at positions 28 to 507 of the family's 1533-position model. The record is from RNAcentral.